Molecule: RNA transcript, 1236 nt
Organism: Nerophis lumbriciformis (worm pipefish)
Lineage: Eukaryota; Metazoa; Chordata; Actinopteri; Syngnathiformes; Syngnathidae
Gene name: cartilage intermediate layer protein 1-like
Source: RefSeq, a predicted model, not a curated record
CUGCUGGCGGGUGACAGGUGUGAUUUUAAGCUCACUCUUGAUUUUAACAUUUUAAUCUUUUUAACAUAUCUUUCUGGCUUCCGUGCUGUCUUAGGACUUCGGUGGCAGCUAUUUCCUCUUGUUCUAUCGCAAUUAUAAGAAACAUUACAUCUCCAAUGAUGCUGGGAUGGUUGUGCUUCAUGAUUGCGGCCCUGCAUGUUGGAAAUGUGCAAGCCAUGACACCCGGCAGCCAUUCUUCUUCAGAGUGUUGGACUAAGUGGUUUGACCGCGACAACCCUAGUGGGAAAGGAGACUUUGAGAUUCUGAGUAAGCUGCGCCGUGAACACCCAACAAGCAUCUGUCAAGUGCCACUCCAAAUUGACGUUGAGACGACCUCUGGAGGCAGUGUGUCUUCAACGAGCGAUAAGAUCCAUAUAUCGGACAUAACCACAGGAUUCAUCUGUAAAAAUGCACAACAGAAAAAAGGCUGGUGCUCUGAUUACCGUGUUCGAUUUAAGUGCCCCCUCAAGUUCUGCCCUCCAGUGAUUACAGAAUGUUGGACCCCGUGGUUCGAUCGAGACGACCCAUCUGGAGCUGGAGACUUUGAGACUCUUGCUCAUCUUUCCAAUAAAUAUAAGAAGCAGAUCUGUGAUCAUCCCAUUCACAUUGAGGUCCAAACAAGAUCUGGGGAAAGUCUGACUUCAACGGGGGAUGUGAUUUAUGCGGUGUAUCCCGCCUUCCGCCCGAAUGCAGCUGAGAGGCUCCAGCGACCCCAAAAGGGACAAGCGGUAGAAAAUGGAUGGAUAACCAGAACUGAGACAAUAGAGCUGAUUCUACCACUGGAUUUAUCUGUAAAAAUUCCAACCAGAAGAAAGGAAUGUGUUCGGAUUACCGUGUACGGUUCCUGUGUCCUCUUGAUCACUGCCACCCAAACGUGUGCUUCACCAAAUGGUUUAAUCGUGACCGUCCAAGUGGCAAAGGGGACUUUGAGAUCCUGAGCAAACUUUGGCCAAAGUAUUCAAAAGUCCUCUGCAAGCGGCCUAUCACCUUAGAAGUGGUCACUGCUAAGGCAGAAAAGCUAUUUGCCUUAAACGGACAGAUAGCUUACAGAUAUGACACGACCGAAGGCUUUAUCUGUCGCAACAAAGACCAACAUGGUGGAUCUUGCUAUGACUACAAAGUACGCUUUGGAUGCCCGUGCAAAUGAAAUGUCACAAACCUCCUGAACACUUUCUUAAGAAAUGUUUCUCUUUAAAA